RNAcentral lists this ribosomal RNA (369 nucleotides) under uncultured bacterium. RNAcentral describes it as "bacterial SSU rRNA". It matches the Rfam family "Bacterial small subunit ribosomal RNA", at positions 525 to 896 of the family's 1533-position model. The record is from RNAcentral.
ACGGAGGGUGCAAGCGUUAUCCGGAUUCACUGGGUUUAAAGGGUGCGUAGGCGGGCAGGUAAGUCAGUGGUGAAAUCUUCGAGCUUAACUCGGAAACUGCCGUUGAUACUAUCUGUCUUGAAUAUUGUGGAGGUGAGCGGAAUAUGUCAUGUAGCGGUGAAAUGCUUAGAUAUGACAUAGAACACCCAUUGCGAAGGCAGCUUACUACGCAUAUAUUGACGCUGAGGCACGAAAGCGUGGGGAUCAAACAGGAUUAGAUACCCUGGUAGUCCACGCCCUAAACUAUGGAUACUCGACAUAUGCGAUACACUGUAUGUGUCUGAGCGAAAGCAUUAAGUAUCCCACCUGGGAAGUACGUUCGCAAGAAUG